Molecule: ribosomal RNA, 225 nt
Filed under: Wardium fryei
Lineage: Eukaryota; Metazoa; Platyhelminthes; Cestoda; Cyclophyllidea; Hymenolepididae
Description: partial small subunit ribosomal RNA
Source: RNAcentral
CUUGUUUUAUGUUGGUGUAUAUCUGGUUUGAUAUUAUUGCUUUAAUAGCUUAAUUUGUGUAUAUUUAUUAUUUAAGCCAAGUCUAUGUGCUGCAUAUUCAAGAUUUCAUGCGUUACUAUAAUAAGGUUAGUUAUGAGUGUGGCUUAUUAUUUAGGACUUGAUAGUAAUAUAAUAUGAGUUUGUUUAUGUGAAAUUGGUUUAGCUUGGGUACACACCGCCCGUCAC